This 501-nucleotide ribosomal RNA is filed under the name uncultured bacterium. RNAcentral describes it as "partial 16S ribosomal RNA". It matches the Rfam family "Bacterial small subunit ribosomal RNA", at positions 30 to 523 of the family's 1533-position model. The record is from RNAcentral.
AUUGAACGCUGGCGGCAGGCUUAACACAUGCAAGUCGAGCGGAGAUGAGGUGCUUGCACCUUAUCUUAGCGGCGGACGGGUGAGUAAUGCUUAGGAAUCUGCCUAUUAGCGGGGGACAACAUUCCGAAAGGAAUGCUAAUACCGCAUACGUCCUACGGGAGAAAGCAGGGGAUCUUCGGACCUUGCGCUAAUAGAUGAGCCUAAGUCGGAUUAGCUAGUCGGUGGGGUAAAGGCCUACCAAGGCGACGAUCUGUAGCGGGUGUGAGAGGAUGGUCCGCCACACUGGGACUGAGACACGGCCCAGACUCCUACGGGAGGCAGCAGUGGGGAAUAUUGGACAAUGGGGGGAACCCUGAUCCAGCCAUGCCGCGUGUGUGAAGAAGGCCUUAUGGUUGUAAAGCACUUUAAGCGAGGAGGAGGCUACUGAGACUAAUACUCUUGGAUAGUGGACGUUACUCGCAGAAUAAGCACCGGCUAACUCUGUGCCAGCCGCCGCCGUAA